CGUGGAGUAGCUUAACCGGAAGAGCGCCAAGUCCAUCUAUUGGUUAAUGCAAGGUAACGAUCUGUAUUAUACCGCUUGGUCCGUGCGGGUUCGAGUCCCGCCUCCACAA
RNAcentral lists this transfer RNA (109 nucleotides) under Hyphomicrobiales bacterium. Its description in RNAcentral is "tRNA-OTHER". It matches the Rfam family "tRNA". Rfam says of the family: Transfer RNA (tRNA) molecules are approximately 80 nucleotides in length. Their secondary structure includes four short double-helical elements and three loops (D, anti-codon, and T loops). Further hydrogen bonds mediate the characteristic L-shaped molecular structure. tRNAs have two regions of fundamental functional importance: the anti-codon, which is responsible for specific mRNA codon recognition, and the 3' end, to which the tRNAs corresponding amino acid is attached (by aminoacyl-tRNA synthetases). tRNAs cope with the degeneracy of the genetic code in two manners: having more than one tRNA (with a specific anti-codon) for a particular amino acid; and 'wobble' base-pairing, i.e. permitting non-standard base-pairing at the 3rd anti-codon position. Lineage: Bacteria; Pseudomonadati; Pseudomonadota; Alphaproteobacteria; Hyphomicrobiales. The record is from RNAcentral.